UAACCUUGGCUUGGGUGGACAUUGG
RNAcentral lists this non-coding RNA (25 nucleotides) under Mus musculus (house mouse). Lineage: Eukaryota; Metazoa; Chordata; Mammalia; Rodentia; Muridae. The record is from RNAcentral.